UGUAUGGGGGCAUGUGCACGCUCUGUUUACACAUCCACUCACACCUGUGCACCCUCUGUAGUUCUAUGGCCUGGGGGGCUCUGUCCUCCUGCUGUGGUCCUACGUCUUUACACACACACCGUAGCAAAGUCUCAUGGAAUGUAUGUCGCGUUUAACGCAAUGAAAUACAACUUUCAGCAACGGAUCUCUUGGCUCUCGCAUCGAUGAAGAACGCAGCGAAAUGCGAUAAGUAAUGUGAAUUGCAGAAUUCAGUGAAUCAUCGAAUCUUUGAACGCACCUUGCGCCCUUUGGCUAUUCCGAAGGGCAUGCCUGUUUGAGUAUCAUGAACACCUCAACUCUCAUGGCUUGCCCAUGAUGAGCUUGGACUUUGGGGGUCUUGCUGGCCUGUGGGCCGGCUCCUCUCAAAUGAAUUAGCUUGCCAGUGUUUGGUGGGCAUCACAGGUGUGAUAACUAUCUACGCUUGUGGUCUUCCGCCAGGUAAUCUUCAGCAAUGAAGGUUCGCUGGAGCUCAUAAACGUCUCUCCUUGGUGGGGACAGAUUUGACCAUUUGAUCUCAGAUCAGGUAGGACUACCCGCUGAACUUAAGCAUAUCAAUAAGCGGAGGAAAAGAAACUAACAAGGAUUCCCCUAGUAACUGCGAGUGAAGCGGGAAGAGC
RNAcentral lists this ribosomal RNA (656 nucleotides) under uncultured fungus. RNAcentral's name for it is "eukaryotic LSU rRNA". The stretch from base 169 to 323 matches the Rfam family "5.8S ribosomal RNA". Lineage: Eukaryota; Fungi. The record is from RNAcentral.